RNAcentral lists this ribosomal RNA (442 nucleotides) under uncultured bacterium. RNAcentral describes it as "partial 16S ribosomal RNA". It matches the Rfam family "Bacterial small subunit ribosomal RNA", at positions 338 to 795 of the family's 1533-position model. The record is from RNAcentral.
CCUACGGGAGGCAGCAGUGGGGAAUCUUGGGCAAUGGGCGCAAGCCUGACCCAGCAACGCCGCGUGCAGGAAGCAGGCUUUCGGGUUGUAAACUUCUUUUAAGAGGGAAGAGCCGAAGACGGUACCUCUUGAAUAAGCUCCGGCUAUCUACGUGCCAGCAGCCGCGGUCAUACGUAGGGAGCGAGCGUUGUCCGGAUUUACUGGGUGUAAAGGGCGUGCAGCCGGGAGGACAAGCCCGAUGUGAAAUCCCGCGGCUCAACCGCGGAACUGCAUUUGAAACUGUAUGUCUUGAGUACUGGAGAGGCAGACGGAAUUCCGAGUGUAGCGGUGAAAUGCGUAGAGAUUAGGAGGAACACCAGUGGCGAAGGCGGUCUGCUGGACAGCAACGGACGGUGAGGCGCGAAAGCGUGGGGAGCAAACAGGAUUAGAUACCCUAGUAGUC